UGUUUGUUUAAUGAGUGAUCCUGGUUUGUAUUUAUAUCGUAUGUGACUGAUCUUUCCCAUCAGGUUGAAGUGGAGGAAGAGCACUGAACUUCAAGCUUUAAAGACAUCAGGGAGAGCUGCUGAAAGCAUUUCAUCAUCCCCCAGUCACCUGACUCACUGCAUAUCAACCUUUGUAUUGGUCUGCAGUUGUUUGCUGAGUUCCAUUGCAUCACAAAUAUGAACCUUCACAACACAUUCUACAGCCAGCUGGACCAACACACGCUGCAACAGCAUACAGGCAGAAGGCCUCAGCGACAUGAGAGACAGGCGCUGCAGGAGGAUUUAUAAGCUGAACAGCAUGAUGUACACAAGAAGCACUCUGGUUCUUCAUACCCUCCCAUUGUACCUGCAAGGGGAUCUUCAAGACCUGCAAG
This is a long non-coding RNA of Labrus mixtus (cuckoo wrasse), 413 nucleotides long. RefSeq lists it as uncharacterized. The record is from RefSeq and is a predicted model, not a curated record. NCBI's taxonomy places the organism in Eukaryota, Metazoa, Chordata, Actinopteri, Labriformes, Labridae. The transcript has 4 exons.